This 71-nucleotide transfer RNA is filed under the name Alaria americana. RNAcentral describes it as "tRNA-Met". Lineage: Eukaryota; Metazoa; Platyhelminthes; Trematoda; Diplostomida; Diplostomidae. The record is from RNAcentral.
AAAGGCGUAAGUUAAAUUUAUAAAACUUUAUGGUUCAUGUUCAUAUAAUAUACCUAGUGGUGUCGUCUUUU